This is a long non-coding RNA of Solanum pennellii, 1257 nucleotides long. RefSeq lists it as uncharacterized. Lineage: Eukaryota; Viridiplantae; Streptophyta; Magnoliopsida; Solanales; Solanaceae. The transcript has 3 exons. The record is from RefSeq and is a predicted model, not a curated record.
UAGAAGAAGUUUAUAUAUUUUGAUCUUCUUUUUUCAUAAGUCUUGCAAUCCCUCUUAUCUUUUCUUCCAGGGGAACAUGGUUAGCUCAUUAUCCGUCCCUGAUCUUUUCUGCAUUCUUUUGUGGUAUUUCACGCUUUACAGGACAUACCUAACUAUAGAAAAGGAUGUAAGUUUCUUCCAGUACUCAACAACACAAAAAUUGUAAUUACAACAAAAGGCUUGAAACCUUGGAAAAUUUAGUACUUAGUAUGUUUGAAAAGGAUGAAAUUUUUGUACGAAAUCACACCUCAUGGGUUUGGUACUAUCCUGAUGGUUUCUUCAGCACUGUUUUGUUUGCUUAGAAGGUAAUUAUAAACAUUCUACGCGUCACAUAAUCUCAUAUAUUUCUACAUAAUUCACUUUUUUCUGAUCAUAAAUCAAUCUAAGUUUCACUAUGGAAGUACAAAGACCAUUUUAAAUUUGUCAUGUAAUCCCUGAUUUUGAUAGGAUAUUUCCUGAUCUUGAUUUAUGAUUUGUGUAUAUUUGUAAAUUAUUUCUUCGCCGUUGUAUCAGUUGUUAUUGUAUUUGCAGAGUUAGAUGUAUUAUUUGUUAUAAAAUGGCUGAAUUGUUCUGUCUUUUACUUUGUUUCAGAUACUUUGCCUUUAGCUCUGUUUCUCUUCCCUUUAUUCCCCCUUGCUAGCAAUGGAUUAUAAGUAUUGUUCUACUGUAACUAUUAACACCUAUUUGAUCGAUUUCAAUGUUGGAAUUCAACUACAAAUGCUCAUGCAUGACCUUCCAAAAAGCAACAUGUGUUGAAAUAGGACUCUAAUUGCUGGAUGUGUUUGCAACAACACAAAUUGCUAUUUAUUAUUACAGGAAAUGUAGGACUAAAUAAGAAAAGGCUAAGAAUCCAUUGUCUCUACAAAUUGUGUUCUCACAACAUCUGUAAUAUCCAAGUAUUUCUUUUAAAUUUAGUUAUAGAAAGUACUGAAUGGAUUUUAAUAUGGAUUUAACGAAUAUAUUUUUAAAUGGCUAUGUAUUUAAUCUAUCUUAUGUAGGUUUCCAUUUUUCGGAUAUUUGGAUUGUAUAUUAGUGGUGAUACGAUGAUGGGGGAUGAUAUGCAAAGGUAUAUUAAUAUGGUGGCCACAAGUCAAUUCAAUCAAUUGAAAUUGAUGCACACUUUUUGAAUAUUAAAGUGUUAAGUUUAUAUUUGGUUUUGUGGAAUUCAUUGCUAGUGGACAUUUUUGAAAUAUUAUUUUAUUACUAUAUGUUCCUAGA